AUGGAGUCUAAGGAUGCUACAUUCUUCGAGGAUAUUUUUCCUAUGAGAGAUAUGCAAAGCACUUCUAGACAGGAAUCUGACGAGACUCCUGAACCUGCCAUUCCUAUGGAAUAUUAUGAACAAACACAUUAUGAAAAUCCUGAGGAGGAUGACGAGGAAACCCUUGGUAGGGGCAAGAGACAAAGGACUACAAAGACCUUUGGUGAUGAUUUCUUCGUGUACCUCAUGGAUGAUACUCCCACUUCUAUUUCAGAAGCGUAUGCCUCUCCAGAAGCUGACUACUGGAAGGAUGCGGCCCGUAGCGAGAUGGAUUCCAUCAUGGCUAACGGGACAUGGGAGAUCACUGAUCGUCCCUAUGGUUGCAAACCACUGGGUGUAAGUGGGUGUUCAAAAAGAAGCUUAGGCCCGAUGGUACUAUUGAAAAGUACAAGGCUAGGCUUGUGGCCAAGGGCUAUGACCAGCAAGAAGAGGAAGAUUUCUUUGAUACUUAUUCACCUGUGGGUAGACUGA
RNAcentral lists this ribosomal RNA (510 nucleotides) under Triticum aestivum (bread wheat). RNAcentral's name for it is "partial small subunit ribosomal RNA". Lineage: Eukaryota; Viridiplantae; Streptophyta; Magnoliopsida; Poales; Poaceae. The record is from RNAcentral.